This is a non-coding RNA of Notechis scutatus (mainland tiger snake), 479 nucleotides long. Lineage: Eukaryota; Metazoa; Chordata; Lepidosauria; Squamata; Elapidae. The record is from RefSeq and is a predicted model, not a curated record.
AUUACCAGCAAGGGACUUCUCUUUCCAUCGAAAUGGAGACGUAGCAGCUUUGAAGAGCUGAGGUUGUGCAACUCGUGAGCUCUGCUUCCUCUGGUGAUGGAGACUCAAGAGGCAUAAAAAAGGGAAAGGCAGCACUUGGACCAGAAAUGGAAAAGCAGCAUUGGAGGCUAAUUCUUGCUUUCUGAAACCCUUCUGGAGGAGACUGUCCUUGGGGACACUUCCAAGGUUUGCUACACAUUAUGGAUUAUUAUUAUUUUUUUCUAACAUGGCAGCUCUGAAGUGAUUAAGGCUAUUCAUGACCUUUUUUUUUUUGUACGUCUUACCCAGAAGAAGGGAAAACUGCUUAGUGCAAAUGCAUCUCCAAGUGCCUUAAGGGGCAUUUAGCUAACGGCCUGGACUGCGCGUUGUCGCGUUUUGCCAAAUAGGAAGAACAGCUCCGUGAAACGGUGGAGACGGACAGUUAAGCAGACGGCUCAAAA